ACAAGCUUUCGGGAGAACCUCCCUUUCUCAAGUCUGAGGAAAUGCUUCAGAUUUGAGAAAGGGAGGUUCUCUCGAAAGCUUG
Molecule: non-coding RNA, 82 nt
Organism: Pelobates cultripes (western spadefoot toad)
Lineage: Eukaryota; Metazoa; Chordata; Amphibia; Anura; Pelobatidae
Source: the annotation of a GenBank genome assembly